GCACCCGUAGCUCAGCUGGAUAGAGCGCUGCCCUCCGAAGGCAAAGCUAAGUCAAGCGGCUUUGUUGCGGGUGUU
This 75-nucleotide transfer RNA is filed under the name Amaricoccus macauensis. The record is from Rfam by way of RNAcentral. Lineage: Bacteria; Pseudomonadati; Pseudomonadota; Alphaproteobacteria; Rhodobacterales; Paracoccaceae.